RNAcentral lists this ribosomal RNA (373 nucleotides) under uncultured organism. RNAcentral's name for it is "partial 16S ribosomal RNA". It matches the Rfam family "Bacterial small subunit ribosomal RNA", at positions 527 to 896 of the family's 1533-position model. The record is from RNAcentral.
GUAGGUGGCAAGCGUUGUCCGGAAUUAUUGGGCGUAAAGCGCGCGCAGGCGGUCCUUUAAGUCUGAUGUGAAAGCCCACGGCUCAACCGUGGAGGGUCAUUGGAAACUGGGGGACUUGAGUACAGAAGAGGAAAGCGGAAUUCCAAGUGUAGCGGUGAAAUGCGUAGAGAUUUGGAGGAACACCAGUGGCGAAGGCGGCUUUCUGGUCUGUAACUGACGCUGAGGCGCGAAAGCGUGGGGAGCAGACAGGGAUUAGAUACCCUGGUAGUCCACGCCGUAAACGAUGAGUGCUAAGUGUUAGGGGGUUUCCGCCCCCUUAGUGCUGCAGCUAACGCAUUAAGCACUCCGCCUGGGGAGUACGGCCGCAAGGCUG